Molecule: long non-coding RNA, 285 nt
Filed under: Ananas comosus (pineapple)
Lineage: Eukaryota; Viridiplantae; Streptophyta; Magnoliopsida; Poales; Bromeliaceae
Description: long non-coding RNA (ACOM_LNC032145)
Source: RNAcentral
UUUUGAAUAAUCCUAUAUAUAAGAUAUAGUAGGGCUAAGCAUCUUAAUCCGGCUAUAGCAUUUUGGGUAACGACUAGAACUAAAAGAUUAAGAGAGUUGACUGAGCUUAGUGUUAGAAUAGUUUUAGAAUAGGUGAUCUCCUUGGGAAGCCUGGCAUUACAACUGGUAUCAGAGUCAAUCACUAUCCGAAAGUGUGAGAUAAUUCUCGAUUGAGUUAAGGUCGUACAGCGAGUAGAGAGUAUGACUAAACAUCUUAACUCGACUAUAGUAUUUUGGCCGGCGGUU